GUCGAGAAUAAUUCACAAUGGACGAAAGUCUGAUGGUGCAACGCCGCGUGGAGGAUGACGGUCUUCGGAUUGUAAACUCCUGUCAUCCGGGAGUAAGACCUGGCUGUGAAUAGCAGACAGGGUUGAUAGUACCGGAAGAGGAAGGGACGGCUAACUUCGUGCCAGCAGCCGCGGUAAUACGAAGGUCCCGAGCGUUGAUCGGAAUCACUGGGCGUAAAGGGAGCGUAGGCGGCGUGGUAAGUCAGAUGUGAAAUCCCGGGGCUCAACCCCGGAACUGCAUCCGAUACUGCCGUGCUAGAGGAUUGGAGAGGUAGCUGGAAUUCUUGGUGUAGCAGUGAAAUGCGUGGAGAUCAAGAGGAACACUCGUGGCGAAAGCGAGCUACUGGACAAUAUCUGACGCUGAGGCUCGAAGGCCAGGGUAGCGAAAGGGAUUAGAAACCCGGGUAGUCC
This 450-nucleotide ribosomal RNA is filed under the name uncultured bacterium. RNAcentral's name for it is "partial 16S ribosomal RNA". It matches the Rfam family "Bacterial small subunit ribosomal RNA", at positions 354 to 796 of the family's 1533-position model. The record is from RNAcentral.